This 336-nucleotide unclassified non-coding RNA is filed under the name soil metagenome. RNAcentral describes it as "partial contains 5.8S ribosomal RNA, internal transcribed spacer 2, and large subunit ribosomal RNA". The stretch from base 1 to 119 matches the Rfam family "5.8S ribosomal RNA", at positions 36 to 154 of the family's 154-position model. The record is from RNAcentral.
AUGAAGAACGUAUCGAAAUGCGAUAAGUAGUGUGAAUUGCAGAAUUCAGUGAAUCAUCGAAUCUUUGAACGCACAUUGCGCCCCAUGGUAUUCCGUGGGGCAUGCCUGUUCGAGCGUCAUUUACCCCCUCAAGCUCCGCUUGGUGUUGGGCGUCUGUCCCGCUUCGCGCGCGGACUCGCCCCAAAGGUAUUGGCAGCGGUCGUGCCAGCUUCUCGCGCAGCACAUUGCGCUUCUCGAGGCACCGGUGGGCCCGCGUCCAUCAAGCUCACCCCCCCAGUUUGACCUCGGAUCAGGUAGGGAUACCCGCUGAACUUAAGCAUAUCAAUAAGCGGAGGA